UACAGAGGUCUCAAGCGUUGUUCGGAUUCAUUGGGCGUAAAGGGUGCGUAGGCGGUAAGGUAAGUCGGAUGUGAAAUCCCGGGGCUCAACCCCGGAACUGCAUUCGAUACUGCUUUACUUGAGGACUGGAGAGGAGAUUGGAAUUCACGGUGUAGCAGUGAAAUGCGUAGAUAUCGUGAGGAAGACCAGUGGCGAAGGCGAAUCUCUGGACAGAUCCUGACGCUGAGGCACGAAGGCUAGGGGAG
RNAcentral lists this ribosomal RNA (245 nucleotides) under uncultured bacterium. Its description in RNAcentral is "partial 16S ribosomal RNA". It matches the Rfam family "Bacterial small subunit ribosomal RNA", at positions 524 to 768 of the family's 1533-position model. The record is from RNAcentral.